This 82-nucleotide transfer RNA is filed under the name Penicillium nalgiovense. RNAcentral describes it as "tRNA-Leu". It matches the Rfam family "tRNA". Rfam says of the family: Transfer RNA (tRNA) molecules are approximately 80 nucleotides in length. Their secondary structure includes four short double-helical elements and three loops (D, anti-codon, and T loops). The record is from RNAcentral. Lineage: Eukaryota; Fungi; Ascomycota; Eurotiomycetes; Eurotiales; Aspergillaceae.
AGGCAAGUGUGGCCGAGUGGUUAAGGCGCUACGUUUAGGCCGUAGUGGGGAACCGCGCGAGUUCGAAUCUCGUCGCUUGCAA